Molecule: antisense RNA, 75 nt
Filed under: Micromonospora sp. CNZ297
Lineage: Bacteria; Bacillati; Actinomycetota; Actinomycetes; Micromonosporales; Micromonosporaceae
Description: ASpks TB sRNA
Rfam family: ASpks TB sRNA
Source: RNAcentral
CUUCAGCGACCCCAGCCGCAGCGGUUCCGCGUCGCCGCGUCCCACUCCGUACGUGGCGAGCAGCGCCUGGGCCUC